CCUACGGGAGGCAGCAGUGGGGAAUAUUGGGCAAUGGGCGCAAGCCUGACCCAGCAACGCCGCGUGAAGGAAGAAGGCUUUCGGGUUGUAAACUUCUUUUGACAGGGAAGAGUAGAAGACGGUACCUGUCGAAUAAGCCACGGCUAACUACGUGCCAGCAGCCGCGGUAAUACGUAGGUGGCACGCGUUGUCCGGAUUUACUGGGUGUAAAGGGCGUGUAGCCGGGUUGACAAGUCAGAUGUGAAAUCCGCAGGCUCAACCUGCGAACUGCAUUUGAAACUGUUUCCCUUGAGUAUCGGAGAGGUCAUCGGAAUUCCUAGUGUAGCGGUGAAAUGCGUAGAUAUUAGGAAGAACACCAGUGGCGAAGGCGGAUGACUGGACGACAACUGACGGUGAGGCGCGAAAGCGUGGGGAGCAAACAGGAUUAGAUACCCCAGUAGUC
This 442-nucleotide ribosomal RNA is filed under the name uncultured bacterium. RNAcentral's name for it is "partial 16S ribosomal RNA". It matches the Rfam family "Bacterial small subunit ribosomal RNA", at positions 338 to 795 of the family's 1533-position model. The record is from RNAcentral.